GUGUUCUUUAUAAAUCGUGAGAGAUAUACAAACGAGAAAAACAAACAGAAAAAAACUAAAAAGGAGGUGGAGGGGAUGUGGAGGGAAGGUGAGGUGGAGGGGAUGUGGAGGGAAGGUGAGGUGGAGGGGAUGUGGAGGGAAGGUGAGGUGGAGGGGAUGUGGAGGGAAGGUGAGGUGGAGGGAAUGGGAUGUGGAGGGAAGGGAAGGUGGAGGGGAUGUGGAGGGAAGGUGAGGUGGAGGGAAUGGGAUGUGGAGGGAAGGUGAGGUGGAGGGAAUGGGAUGUGGAGGGAAGGUGAGGUGGAGGGAAUGGGAUGUGGAGGGAAGGUGAGGUGGAGGGAAUGGGAUGUGGAGGGAAGGGAAGGUGGAGGGGAUGUGGAGGGAAGGGAAGGUGGAGGGGAUGUGGAGGGAAGGUGAGGUGGAGGGAAUGGGAUGUGGAGGGAAGGGAAGGUGGAGGGGAUGUGGAGGGAAGGUGAGGUGGAGGGGAUGGGAUGUGGAGGGAAGGGAAGGUGGAGGGGAUGUGGAGGGAAGGUGAGGUGGAGGGAAUGGGAUGUGGAGGGAAGGGAAGGUGGAGGGGAUGUGGAGGGAAGGUGGAGGGAAGGGAAGGUGGAGGGGAUGUGGAGGGAAGGUGAGGUGGAGGGAAUGGGAUGUGGAGGGAAGGGAAGGUGGAGGGGAUGUGGAGGGAAGGUGGAGGGAAUGGGAUGUGGAGGGAAGGUGAGGUGGAGGAUAUGGAGGGGGAUGUGGAAGGGAUGUGGAGGGAAGGGAAGGUGGAGGGAAUGGG
Oncorhynchus keta (chum salmon) is the source of this 778-nucleotide long non-coding RNA. RefSeq lists it as uncharacterized. The transcript is spliced from 8 exons. NCBI's taxonomy places the organism in Eukaryota, Metazoa, Chordata, Actinopteri, Salmoniformes, Salmonidae. The record is from RefSeq and is a predicted model, not a curated record.